This 492-nucleotide ribosomal RNA is filed under the name uncultured bacterium. Its description in RNAcentral is "partial 16S ribosomal RNA". It matches the Rfam family "Bacterial small subunit ribosomal RNA", at positions 29 to 507 of the family's 1533-position model. The record is from RNAcentral.
AGUGAACGCUGGCGGUAGGCCUAACACAUGCAAGUCGAACGGCAGCACAGUAAGAGCUUGCUCUUACGGGUGGCGAGUGGCGGACGGGUGAGGAAUACAUCGGAAUCUACUUUUUCGUGGGGGAUAACGUAGGGAAACUUACGCUAAUACCGCAUACGACCUACGGGUGAAAGCAGGGGAUCUUCGGACCUUGCGCGAUUGAAUGAGCCGAUGUCGGAUUAGCUAGUUGGCGGGGUAAAGGCCCACCAAGGCGACGAUCCGUAGCUGGUCUGAGAGGAUGAUCAGGCCAACUGGAACAGGGAAACGGGCCCGACCCCCACGGGAGGGAACAGGUGGGAAAUUUGGACAAAGGGGGGAAGGCGUGAUCCAGCCAGCCGGGUGGGGUAAAAAAGGCUUGUGGUUUGAAAACCCUUUUUGUUGGGAAAAAAGACCGGAAGGUUAAAACCCCCUUUUUUUGAGGGACCCAAAAAAAAAACACCGGCUAAAUUUGGG